RNAcentral lists this ribosomal RNA (280 nucleotides) under Artoria howquaensis. RNAcentral describes it as "partial 12S ribosomal RNA". The record is from RNAcentral. Lineage: Eukaryota; Metazoa; Arthropoda; Arachnida; Araneae; Lycosidae.
UUAAACCUAUUUAAAAUGGCGGCAUUUCAUCUUAUUAGAGGAAUCUGUUUUAUAAUCGAUACUCCACGAUAAUUUUCACUUUAAUUAAAAAUUUAUAUACCGCCAUCUAAAGAAUCAAUUUAAUUAUAUUAUUCUAAAUAAUAACUAAAAAGUUAGGUCAAGGUGUAAUCAAUAUAAAAGAAAAUUAAUGGAUUACAUUAAAAAUAAUUUUAGGAAAAUAAAAAUAAAUUUUAAUUUGAAAAAGAAUUUAAAAGUAUUAAAACAAUAAUAUUUUAUUAUG